Molecule: ribosomal RNA, 1283 nt
Filed under: Callimerus chinensis
Lineage: Eukaryota; Metazoa; Arthropoda; Insecta; Coleoptera; Cleridae
Description: 16S ribosomal RNA
Rfam family: Archaeal large subunit ribosomal RNA (bases 1042-1201)
Source: RNAcentral
AAUUAAAAAUUUAUUUAAUUUUUAAAUUUAAAUUAUUUUAAAUAAAAAAAUAUUAUUUUUAUUAUUAUUAAGAAAAAAUAUAUUUAAUUAUAGUUUAUAGUAUUGUGAAAGAAAAUUAUUAUUUAUUUAAAAGAAAAAUUUAAUUUUUGUACCUUGUGCAUCAGGGUUAAUUAAAUAAAAAUUAAUUAUUUAAUAUUCUCGAAUUUAAAAGAGCUAAUUAAUUAUAUAUUUUAUUGUAACAUAAAUAUUUAAAAUAGUUAAUUAGUAAUGAAACGUUAUUCGUUUUUAAAUAUAUCUAGUUUUUAAAUAAAUAAAUUAAAUUUAUCUAUUAAUAAUUAAAAUUUUAAUUUUUUAAUAUUUUAUUAUUAAUAAGAAAUUUUUUUAGGGAUAAGCUUGAAAAAAAAAUAUUAAAACAAAAUUUAAUAGUUAAUAAAUUAUAGGAUUAUAAUUUUCCAUAAAUAAAAAAAUGUUAUAAUUAAUUAUUUAAUAUAUAUAAUUUUUAUUUUUGUUUAAAUUUUUUAUUUAAAUAUAAUAUUUAAUAAUUAAAUAUUAGAAAUAAUGAUUAAAUUAGUAUAAUUUAUUUUAAAAUUAAAUUUAUUAUAAAGGUUAUUUUAAGGAAUUCGGCAAAUUUAUUUUUCACCUGUUUAUUAAAAACAUGUCCUUUUGAUUAUAAUUUAAGGUCUAAUCUGCCCACUGAGAAGUUAAAUGGCCGCAGUAUUUUGACUGUGCAAAGGUAGCAUAAUAAUUAGUUUCUUAAUUAGAAGCUGGAAUGAAAGAUUGAAUGAGAAAAUGACUGUCUCAAUUUAAUUUAAUUAGAACUUUAUUUUUAAGUUAAAAAGCUUAAAUUUUAUUAAAAGACGAGAAGACCCUAUAGAGUUUAAUUUAAUUUUUUUAUAAUAAAAAAUUGAUUUAAAUCUUUUUAUUUAAAAAUUAAAUUUUGUUGGGGUGACAAAAAAAUUAAUUAAACUUUUUUUAUAUUAAAACAUUAAUUAAUGAUUAGUUGAUCCAAAUAUUUUGAUUAUAAGAUAAAAUUACCUUAGGGAUAACAGCGUAAUUUUUUUUGAGAGUUCUUAUCGAAAAGAAAGAUUGCGACCUCGAUGUUGGAUUAAAGUUUAAUUUUGGUGUAGAAGCUAAAAAUUUUAGGUCUGUUCGACCUUUAAAACUUUACAUGAUCUGAGUUUAAACCGGUGUAAGCCAGGUUGGUUUCUAUCUUUAAUAUAUUAAAAUAUUUUAGUACGAAAGGACCAAAUAUUUAUUAAAAUAAUUAAAAAUUGAAUAAUAUU